CUUAUUAUCAUUUCCUAUUCUAGAGAAGUUUCAAACUCAGAGAAAAAUUAGCUCAUUCUUAUAUCGGUCAGCCAUUGCCAUCUUCUCUCUACCUGAUACACUUUAGAUAAAGAGUUUUACACACAUUUAUAAGAAACAAGGAAACAUACAGAGAUGAAUUUAUAUUUUAUUCUAAGCGUCUGAUACGUUUAGUUGAGUACGCACUAUCUCUUUUACCUUUCGGGGUAAAUGCUAAUAUAUCAGUGAAAUAUGAACGAAAUAAGAUUUUAUUAUUUAAAUUAUAUAUUUAUAUAAUUAUAUAUUUAUAAUAUGUAACAGUAGAAACACACAAGGAGUAUUAUAUAAUGGAAAACGUGCUGCUACGGAUAAAAUAUGUGAUGUUUCCAUUUUGCGUGCGGUGAAACGAUGGAACAAGCUGUCAGAUGUAUGCAAAGAUAUUAGAAUAGGAAAAAUACUUAUCCAAACGAAUCAACAGACUGGAGAGCCAGAACUUUAUUAUCUAUGAUUGCCAAAAGAUAUUAAAGAUUAUAAAGUGAUACUGAUGGAUGCAACAGUAGUAACAGGUGCUGCUGCUAUUAUGACUAUUCGAGUCCUAUUGGAUCACGACAUUGCAAAAGAAAACAUAUCUCUACUUAUGGCAGAAUCUGGUGUGCAUUCGAUUGCUUAUGCAUUUCCGCACAUAAGAUCGUAACAUCUGCCUUAGAUCUUAUGAUAAAUGAGAAGUUUUAUGUUGCCGGUAUUGGUAAUUUUGGCGAUCGAUACUUUGGAACUGAACCAUCUUCGAUCGAUGAUUAGUACAGUUGAUCUCACUUUUCAGUUUCCUCAAAGCUAUUAAUUUAUUAUACAAAAUACAGUAAUCUUAUAUUAUUUAAUUAUAUUUAAUAAAAUUUGUGUGUUAUUGAGAGACUUAUGCGAUAUUCAAUAUCGAUUGUUUAUUACCUAAUAUUUAUUUUAAUCCAUUUUACUAUAUGAUUAAAGUAAUAUUGUAUCGAUAUUAAAGUCAAUAGUACUUCCUUGUGUGCUUAUACCUGUACUGCGUAAUUGUCUGUAACCUCGAGCACUUGCUGUACAGAAACGGUGCCAAAAAUCCAAAUGACCAGAACUGGGAUUACUCGACUGUCCCAAAAGAUAUGUAAUUAAUCUAUCAAGAGCGGCCAAAUCUUCGCUCGUACUGCCAGAACCUUCCGGUAAAUUGAAACUAUUUUACACAGUUUGUUCUUUUUGUUCAGUAUUUGUAACGUUAAUUGUACUAUUACUGCUGUGAAAUUUUUGUGUAAACUAUAAGAAAAACAAUCUUAUAUUUUAUGUAUUAUAUAUAAUUUCUAAUUAAUUACAUUAAUUAGAAAUUUUACGUUAUCUCGUCUGGACCAUGUUGACCAUAACUUAAUUUUUGGAUUUUGCGGAAUGUUUCAUCAUCUAUAGCUUCACGCUUCGUUUAACGUUUGUUCUAGCACGCGUUGUUUUGUUUUACUUAAUUCACC
This is a long non-coding RNA of Apis florea (little honeybee), 1481 nucleotides long. The record is from RefSeq and is a predicted model, not a curated record. Lineage: Eukaryota; Metazoa; Arthropoda; Insecta; Hymenoptera; Apidae.